CCUACGGGGGGCUGCAGUAACGGAUAUUGGGCAAUGGGCGAAAGCCUGACCCAGCGACGCCGCGUGCGGGAGGAAGCCCUUCGGGGUGUAAACCGCUGUCAGGGGUAUGAAAGUCCACUUCGGUGGAUUGAUCUAACCCAGAGGAAGUCACGGCUAACUCUGUGCCAGCAGCCGCGGUAAGACAGAGGUGGCUAGCGUUGUUCGGUAUCACUGGGCUUAAAGCGUGUGUAGGCGGAAACGUAAGCAUUUUGUGAAAUCCCUCGGCUUAACCGAGGCAUUGCUUGAUGUACUGCGUUUCUUGAGGCAGGUAGGGGUGCGAGGAACUCUUGGUGGAGCGGUGGAAUGCGUAGAUAUCAAGAGGAACGCCGGUGGUGAAGACGUUGCACUGGGCCUGUCCUGACGCUGAGACACGAAAGCGUGGGGAGCGAACGGGCUUAGAUACCCCUGUAGUC
RNAcentral lists this ribosomal RNA (452 nucleotides) under uncultured Phycisphaerae bacterium. Its description in RNAcentral is "bacterial SSU rRNA". It matches the Rfam family "Bacterial small subunit ribosomal RNA", at positions 338 to 795 of the family's 1533-position model. Lineage: Bacteria; Pseudomonadati; Planctomycetota; Phycisphaerae. The record is from RNAcentral.